UAUCCGUAGGUGAACCUGCGGAGGGAUCAUUACAGAGUUCUCGCCCUCACGGGUAGAUCUCCCACCCACUGUUAUCGUUACUGUCGUUUCUUUGGCGGGCCGCCGGGUCCCCAGCGGCCGGCGCCUAGCUGCCGGCGCGCGCCCGCCAGAGGCCUUCAAACUCUGACUGUUAGUGUCGUCUGAAUACUAUAUAAUAGUUAAAACUUUCAACAACGGAUCUCUUGGUUCUG
RNAcentral lists this unclassified non-coding RNA (230 nucleotides) under plant metagenome. RNAcentral's name for it is "partial contains small subunit ribosomal RNA, internal transcribed spacer 1, and 5.8S ribosomal RNA". The record is from RNAcentral.